RNAcentral lists this ribosomal RNA (753 nucleotides) under Triticum aestivum (bread wheat). RNAcentral describes it as "partial small subunit ribosomal RNA". The record is from RNAcentral. Lineage: Eukaryota; Viridiplantae; Streptophyta; Magnoliopsida; Poales; Poaceae.
AUGACAAGGCCGAAGUCCGUUGGAGGCCUAGGUUUUAGAGACUUCAGGCUUUUUAACCAAGCGCUACUUGCGAGGCAAGCAUGGAGAUUGCUUGCAUUCCCAAAAACUUUAUGCGCUAGAUUAUUGAAGGCCAAAUACUAUCCAAGUGGCAGAUUUGAGGACACAGUUUUUACUGGAAACCCCUCUCCAACAUGACAGGCCAUCAGCUACGGGUUAGACCUAUUGAAGAAAGGGCUUGUAUGGAGGAUUGCCAAUGGCCAGAGUGUGCGUAUUUGGCGAGACAAAUGAGUGGUGCGAGAGCCAAUGGGUAGCCUCAUUUCUCGCAAGGGACGGUGUAGAUUAAAGUGGGUGUCCGAGCUCUUCCAUCACAAUGGAGCUUGGGACCUCACAAAACUACAUCAUUUUUUUUUGCUCGUGGACACAGUUGAAAUUCUGAAAAUUCGACCAUCACCGCAUUUUGGUGAGGACUUCCUGGCCUGGGCACCAGAAAAAUCAGGAGUCUUUACAGUACGAAGCGCGUACAAACUUGCUUCUGAUGAGGUACACAAUAGCUCUAUUGCAACGUCUAGCGGGUGGGCCGACGGCAGCCGCGAAGGCUGGAAGUGCAUCUGGUCUACUCCGGCUCCACCAAAGGUACUAAAUUUCGCUUGGAGACUAGCUACAGACUCCCUUGCUACUUGGAAAAAUAAACAAAAACGUAAUAUGGAGGUUAGUGCAUUGUGUCCGAUUUGCUGCUGUGAAGAGGAAGAUUAG